GUUGCUUCAGGCCUAGAUUGACUAAAACUGGAAUGAAACAGAGAAGAUUGGCACAGCCCUGGUGCAGGAGGACACACGAAUGCUUGGAGCAUUCCAUAUUUGA
Small nuclear RNA from Acomys russatus (golden spiny mouse), 103 nucleotides. NCBI's taxonomy places the organism in Eukaryota, Metazoa, Chordata, Mammalia, Rodentia, Muridae. The record is from RefSeq and is a predicted model, not a curated record.